GAUGAACGCUAGCGAUAGGCUUAACACAUGCAAGUCGAGGGGCAGCACAAGGUAGCUUGCUAUCUGGGUGGCGACCGGCGCACGGGUGCGUAACGCGUAUGCAACUUGCCCUAUACAGGAGGAUAACCUGUCGAAAGACGGACUAAUACUGCGUAUGCUCACAACUUGGCAUCAAGUGGUGAGGAAAGAAAUUCGGUAUAGUAUAGGCAUGCGUCCCAUUAGCUUGUUGGUUAGGUAACGGCUCACCAAGGCAACGAUGGGUAGGGGAACUGAGAGGUUUAUACCCCACACUGGUACUGAGACACGGACCAGACUCCUACGGGAGGAAGCAGUGAGGAAUAUUGAUCAAUGGGCGCGAGCCUGAACCAGCCAAGUCGCGUGAAGGAUGACUGUCUUAUGGAUUGUAAACUUCUUUUAUACGGGAAUAACAAGAGUAACGUGUGACUCCCUGCAUGUACCGUAUGAAUAAGCAUCGGCUAACUCCGUG
RNAcentral lists this ribosomal RNA (487 nucleotides) under uncultured bacterium. RNAcentral's name for it is "partial 16S ribosomal RNA". It matches the Rfam family "Bacterial small subunit ribosomal RNA", at positions 28 to 507 of the family's 1533-position model. The record is from RNAcentral.